Molecule: ribosomal RNA, 559 nt
Filed under: Alternaria destruens
Lineage: Eukaryota; Fungi; Ascomycota; Dothideomycetes; Pleosporales; Pleosporaceae
Description: partial large subunit ribosomal RNA
Rfam family: Eukaryotic large subunit ribosomal RNA
Source: RNAcentral
GACCUCGGAUCAGGUAGGGAUACCCGCUGAACUUAAGCAUAUCAAUAAGCGGAGGAAAAGAAACCAACAGGGAUUGCCCUAGUAACGGCGAGUGAAGCGGCAACAGCUCAAAUUUGAAAUCUGGCUCUUUUAGAGUCCGAGUUGUAAUUUGCAGAGGCGCUUUGGCUUUGCAGCGGUCCAAGUUCCUUGAACAGGACGUCACAGAGGUGAGAAUCCCGUACGUGGUCGCUGGCUAUUGCGUGUAAAGCCCCUUCGACGAGUCGAGUUGUUUGGGAAUGCAGCUCUAAUGGGAGGUCAUUUUCUUCUAAGCUAAAUAUUGGCAGAGACGAUAGCGCACAGUAGAGUGAUCGAAAGAUGAAAGCAUUUGGAAGAGAUCAAACAGCCGUGAAUUGUGAAAGGAAGGCUUCAGCCGACUGCUACAGUGCCAUCCGGUUCUACCGUGCCUCUCUGUAGCAGCCACAUCAUUUGGCGUAGAUAAAGCUCUGCACUACUCCUUCGGGAGCCUAUAGGGAGAGACUACUACAGCUGGAUAAGUCAGGCUCUCCAGAUCUGCUAUGCU